AACGAACGCUGGCGGCAGGCUUAACACAUGCAAGUCGAACGGGAUCUUCGGAUCUAGUGGCAGACGGGUGAGGAACACGUGGGAACAUCCCUUUCAGUUCGGAAUAACGUUGGGAAACUAACGCUAAUACCGGAUACGUCCUUCGGGAGAAAGAUUUAUCGCUGAAAGAUUGGCCCGCGUCUGAUUAGCUAGUUGGUGAGGUAAUGGCUCACCAAGGCUACGAUCAGUAGCUGAUCUGAGGAUGAUCGGCCACAUUGGGACUGAGACACGGCCCAAACUCCUACGGGAGGCAGCAGUGGGGAAUAUUGGACAAUGGGCGCAAGCCUGAUCCAGCCAUGCCGCGUGAGUGAUGACGGCCUUCGGGUUGUAAAGCUCUUUUGUCCGGGAAGAUAAUGACUGUACCGGAAGAAUAAGCCCCGGCAAACUUCGUGCCAGCCGCCGCGGUAA
RNAcentral lists this ribosomal RNA (447 nucleotides) under uncultured bacterium. RNAcentral's name for it is "partial 16S ribosomal RNA". It matches the Rfam family "Bacterial small subunit ribosomal RNA", at positions 29 to 523 of the family's 1533-position model. The record is from RNAcentral.